This 247-nucleotide ribosomal RNA is filed under the name uncultured bacterium. RNAcentral describes it as "partial 16S ribosomal RNA". It matches the Rfam family "Bacterial small subunit ribosomal RNA", at positions 87 to 334 of the family's 1533-position model. The record is from RNAcentral.
GGGGAUCAGUGGCGAACGGGUGAGUAACACGUGGGCAACCUGCCCUCAGCUCUGGGAUAACUCCAAGAAAUUGGGGCUAAUACUGGAUAUGACUGCUGACCGCAUGGUCUGGUGGUGGAAAGAUUUAUCGGCUGGGGAUGGGCCCGCGGCCUAUCAGCUUGUUGGUGGGGUAGUGGCCUACCAAGGCGACGACGGGUAGCCGGCCUGAGAGGGUGACCGGCCACACUGGGACUGAGACACGGCCCAG